AGAUUUGUACUGCUACACAAGGUUUACUCAAUGAUGAGCGAUAGCAAGCUGUGUCCUAUCAUACACAGACACCAUCUGCUGACACCCGUCACACUUUGAAGAAACCAGAAAACAAAUAUUCAGCAAGAAAACCAGUGAGCUAAAUAAACUUCUUUACUUUA
Molecule: long non-coding RNA, 161 nt
Organism: Mastomys coucha (southern multimammate mouse)
Lineage: Eukaryota; Metazoa; Chordata; Mammalia; Rodentia; Muridae
Exons: 2
Source: RefSeq, a predicted model, not a curated record